RNAcentral lists this ribosomal RNA (460 nucleotides) under uncultured Porphyromonadaceae bacterium. RNAcentral's name for it is "bacterial SSU rRNA". It matches the Rfam family "Bacterial small subunit ribosomal RNA", at positions 338 to 795 of the family's 1533-position model. Lineage: Bacteria; Pseudomonadati; Bacteroidota; Bacteroidia; Bacteroidales; Porphyromonadaceae. The record is from RNAcentral.
CCUACGGGGGGCAGCAGUGAGGAAUAUUGGUCAAUGGGCGGAAGCCUGAACCAGCCACGUCGCGUGAAGGAAGACUGUCCUAUGGAUUGUAAACUUCUUUUUUGCAGGAAUAACAGGAGCUACGCGUAGCUUUUUGCAGGUACUGCACGAAUAAGGAUCGGCUAACUCCGUGCCAGCAGCCGCGGUAAUACGGAGGAUCCGAGCGUUAUCCGGAUUUAUUGGGUUUAAAGGGUGCGCAGGUGGACUGGUCAGUCAGGGGUGAAAUUUUGCAGCUCAACUGCAAGACUGCCUUUGAAACUUCCGGUCUUGAGUGCAAAUGAGGCAGGCGGAAUUUGUGGUGUAGCGGUGAAAUGCUUAGAUAUCACAAGGAACUCCUAUUGCGAAGGCAGCCUGCUGGGAUGCAACUGACACUGAGGCACGAAGGCGCGGGGAUCAAACAGGAUUAGAUACCCUAGUAGUC